UGAGUGGUAGGUUAAGUUAAACCCUUACCGUUCAAUGGUAAAAAUAAAAAAUUUCCACUCAU
RNAcentral lists this transfer RNA (62 nucleotides) under Goniodes ortygis. RNAcentral describes it as "tRNA-Trp". The record is from RNAcentral. Lineage: Eukaryota; Metazoa; Arthropoda; Insecta; Psocodea; Philopteridae.